GGGGGGGGGGGGGGGGCUGCACAGAUCAAAGCUGUGGUGUUGUGUUUAAAUGGCGGAGCAGAAUGAUUUCAAAUUGAUUAUUUCGGGGGGAGGUGCACGAUGUAGUGAACUCAGUCUGAGAUGUCGGGGACACUCGUGAGGUGCUUUGAGAUGUGACCUGAACAAGACAAAAACACGGGAAAUAUUCUGAUGUUGUAUAAAUGAGAUGAUGCAAAGUCUCAGUGUGGCAGUGUUUUAUUAAUCAGUUAAUCAGUCCUGAAAUGAUCUAAAUAUACUCUGUCUGAUGAGCCUGUGUUUGUUAUUAUAUCAUAAACACAAAUUAGUGAACACGGCGGACAGUUUCCAACACAACAUAAUGCACUCAGAUUAGGCCUCAUCAUUCGAACGCUCACAUUGCAAAAGAAUAAACCGGUUGAUUUAUGAAAGCCGGCAUCACAGUCUUUUAUUUAGCGUUGAGUCGAGGUUAACGAACAGAACAUCUCUCUAGGAACCAGAAUACUCAGGUAAACGCUUCAGCUGAAGGAGGUGAGUGUUGCAUCCGUUCGUUCUCACUAAUUAUCGCCUCACCCGGGUGGGGGUCAACGGUUGUGGUUGAUGGUGCAGUAGCUGGACUGUGCCGAUCCGCUUUGAUAAGACUGCCGGUAGUUAACAACCGAUUGAAUGCUCAAAAUAUAUAUAUAUAUAUAUAUUUUUUCAACUCUCUCUGAAGAGUUGAAAAAAUGCAAAAUCCUUUCUCUCCUCUGCGGAGGCCCAGACUCAAAGCUCCAGGCUGAAUUUGAAAGGCAGUGAAAUGUCAAAAUUUCCAUGUUGUCACUUCCAGAGAGGGACAGACACCGGCUGUAUUUCAGGGGCUCGUGUUUGAAGCUCCCCUCUUUCAUUUUAGUUUUUCCACUUCGUGAGGAUAUCAGCGAAGUGAGGAGAAGGACAAUGUACAAUCUGGAUGGGAAACUUGUAUUGUGUCCUCUCAAAUGGAACGUGAAUGAAAAACAGAAUAGUCACCAGUGUGUGUGCCCUUUCAUCAGGAGCGUGGCCUGCACCAACAUCAAUGGUAACGAUUCCUCCUUCAUCAAAGGGUGGAAACGCUGCCGGCCGCACGCAUUAAGUCUGCCUCCAACCAACCCAAGAUCUGCUUUGCACUCUUUCCCCGCGUGGUUCUCAAUAUCAGAAAGCGCAUGAGCCGCAUCCAAAGAGAGGGGAGGACGUUUUCAUGUCACGGUUGUAAUUUAAAUUGGACUUCUGUUACAAUUACAUACAUAUAUACAUAUUUUGUGCAUUUUUUUCGCCUGGUACUGACUGAACUGAGCGUUCAUUUAUUUAAUCUCCAGAUCCGUCAGAUCGCUAACGGAAAAUAGGACACAUUUUUGGCACGCUGUUGACAGGCUCAGCGAAGUGGGACGCACCCCACGAUGAAGUACAGCAGCAACUUAGAAGACACAGAACAAGAAUGCUGAAUGAAAACAUACAUGUCUAAUAAUGGGGCCGAAUGUUACCAUCCUAACGGGGCCGAUAACGAGCUUACUGUACGGAGACGCGUUUGAUUUGUUGGCGUGUCAGCGCCGCCGCGCCUCAGCGGCCCGAGAGAUGGAGGCGCUGCCAAAAGGGAGGGUGGGGGGGAAGGUCGGCGUGACGAAUGACACGGCCGAGGGUUUGAUUAGGUUUUUAUCUGCUCUCGGGACUCUCGGGGACGCACUGAGAUUGAUGGAGGCGGCGGGGCGCCGGUUUUAUUCGGACGCCGCGUGCUCGGCUGGGACGCGGCGUGCCAGCUGACAGAUGAGCGGGCCCCCUCUCCUCUUAGAGACUCACUUGUCUUUAGUUAUCUCCCGCCAGCUGCGCAGCUGGGGAAAAAAACAGCUGGCAAAAACAGCAGGCAGAACUUUUUCUCUUUUUCCGUCUGUGAUGAACAUAAACCGAGUUGGUCCAGUCGGCCGAACCCGGACGGGAAGUUUCUGAGCGACCCACAUUCAUGAAGUAGUAAUCCCAAAAUCUAUGCACGACAACAGCAUCGAUCGACCGCAUUUAGUCCCACCGCGUUCAAGCGUUGCCGCCAUGAGGCGGGGGAAGCACUCACGUCCAUGCCAUGGAUUUUCUUUAAGGUGCAAGGUCACCCUGAGGAACACUGUCCUCGUGAUGAAAGAGAAACAUCCAAACAUUUGUAAUGAGAUGAUUGGAAGCAGGUUGUGCACGAGGAACAUGCAGAUUUAUGCUGUAGGGAGAAGGAGUGUCUGAGCUUAUUUAUGUGUGCUGGAAAUAACUUAAAAGAUAAUCACAUGUGAGUAAUCACCUUAAUGGAUGGGAAGAGAAUCUUUGAAGAAUUCGGAAUGGAAAACUUGAGACACUUGGGAUUGUUCAAAGAUAAAGUACAUACGUAGCUUAAACAUCAGUACUUUACAUUUUUAAAAGCAGAAAUAAUAACGUGGUGUUCGUGGCUCACAAAUACAAACGGAUGGGAAUAAACAUUGGUUCCACAAAUGAAUAAAACAUGCGCAAAUGUAAAAAGAUUUGCAUUUUCUGCAGCGUUUUGAGUGGAAAAAUAAAUCCUUUUGUGAGCUUUGAUUUGUCAGCGAUGCCGAGACGUUACUGAGUCGUUGUUGUGCCGCAGAUAGUAAUUAUGUUCCCUCAGAAAAAACGGUUUUCAAAAAACAUAAACGAUUCCAUCAAACCCAUUGGCUUAUUUAGUCUUUGCGUUGUAUGUUGAGUGGAAAGCGCGCGAAGGUGACGUGAUGUUUGCACGUUUCUGCGCGAGGUGACGACCAAAUAUUUGCGUUUGUGCCACUCUGACGGGCUAAAAUCCCAAAGGAAAACAAACCGUCGCUUUUCCCUUUUCUUAAUUUACCGACACGGCAGAACCACUCUGCGGCGUGUGCGGUCCGUCAGCAUCCAUUCCCCUCACUUACCGCUAAUGGCCUGUGUUGAGCAACAAGCAGGCGCGCUCCAAACAGAAGCCGCCGCUAAACGGCCGUGCCUAAUAAAGCCGGGCUUUUUCCAAAACGGAGAGCCGGCGCAUCCAGAGUGUUGAAAACCGCCAGCCUAAUCGGCCUUGAUGAGAGCCAGUGGGCAGAGCUCGCGCAUCCACCGCGGCGGGAAACCAAAUGGGCACACGUGGCGCUAAAGCGGACACGGAUCGCCGAUAUUGACGAAGCCUUGACUUGCAGACGCGGGAGACGAGCGAGGGUGGUUCGGACAACGGGCCCGACGUUUUUCUAAACCAAGCUCCGUUGACGUCUAGUCUCAUCGCGGGACGUAGCCCUGCUGACAUUUGGUUUGGUGACCGUUUGCACGAAGUGCAGUGCUUUCGGGCGGGGGUCUGGUUGCGGAGAGCGUUUGCCGCGGCUACUUUGGCAGCAGAACCGGCAUCCUCCCCGGAGUCCGUGGCCUUUGGGUGUGAUUAAGCAACGCUGGCAUUUAUGGAGCCAGUGAAUUUGGACGCCCUCGCCGCGUUCAUCGCGCCCCUCGUCGAGGUUUCCACUCGUCGAUGCUGACAAUAACCGCAGCUGCCUCGCCCCGCGAGCUUUCGCCGCCUGUUCGAUGGACGGCCAAAUUGGUCUUUGUGCCAAUUGAAAAAUCUGCUCCUGAGGAUCUCACUUGACGAUCGGCACGGAGCUCAUAGACACGUGCACCUGGAACCUGUGUGUGUGUGUGUGUGUGUGUGUGUGUGUGUGAGUCACUGGUGCCGCACACAAGUCGGUAUUGGCAAUGAUACAUUUCCCUUCAGCCAAAUAAGAUACUAUUUGGUCCAUUGAAUUGACAUUAGCCGGCUUAUUUUUCAAAGGGCUCCUAGGCCAGCAGGAGGGGGGCACUUUGGAGGGUUUCUGUGGCGCAUCCAGACGAGCGUGUUUGCCAUCUCGGUCCAGGCAGCAGCUGUGUUUGGCGAGCUGAAGUCAAUGGCUGACAUCUAAGCUGCUGAAUCUACUGUACCCACAGGCAGCCUUGGAGCACCAGACCCAUCCUGGAGUCACAGCCUGGUGUGCACACGCAAAUGAGCAUUAGUUAAGGGUCAGCCUUUAAUUACUUUUGACAUGUUCCUGCACCUAUUCAUCCGUGACAUGAAUCGUCUUGCAUGUGUGCUUUCGGGUUUCUCUCCCUUAGACACAAAAGAAGCCGCUCUUCACGCAAAGCUUUCCAGAAAUUGUGCUGUAACAUUAUGGUCAGAUUUCUAGAACAUGAAGAAUUUAACAGCAUCAAGCUGAAAUUUUGGGCUGUGUGCCCAGAUUUUUUUAAACAAUCCCAAAUUACAUUAGAACAUUUUCUCAUAGCGCUACCUAUUAGCAUAAAAUGUGAUUAUUCUAGAAUUUCCGAUCUGCUGGUGUCCUGUCAGCUUCAAUGAGCCACAUUUCCCUCUGUUUAACCCACUUCAAAUUCCCGCGGGGAUUUUCUAUGACCCAACACGGUGAAAUAUCUCAGGUUUUAGGUUGAGAAGAAGGUGAACGUGGUGCUGGGAUUUGACGUUCAGCACAACGCCUGCUUGGGUCUAAUCGGCAAAAGCCGCUUUUAUGGUUUGUUUAUUGUGCUUUAACCACCAAAACCCCUCGAGACACGAUAUAAUUACAUCAUAUGAUAUUCAGACUGCACACUAUUAAUAAUUGAGUGGGGCGCAGGUUUCAAUGCAAACAUAGAUGCAGGCUGGAUUAGAUGCCUCAUGCAGCGAUAUCUCGGCCUAUCGUGUGUGGAAAAUGGGAAAACGUGAAAGUGGUUAUUAUAGUUUUGUAUUAAAACACAAUUGAAAAAAAGAAGGGUUUCAAAUAUAAUAUAUUACCUUUUGAGCAUGAAUCACAUCUGUGAGGAUGAGGCAAUGCUAUGAGAGGAAUGAACCUGAGCCGUCCAACGCGUACCCGCUCUCGUGGCGUCUGCUCAGACCUGUCAGCUUCCCCUCGCGCCCGAGUCCUGGGAAGAGGAGGAGGAGGAGGAGGAGGAGGUGCUUCACCACAGGCCAGAGCGUCCUCCACCCAGCCCCCUGCUCUUCUGGCUCCAAACGCAGCAGUAAAAAGGUCGAAGCAUCCUCUGCCGCCUGUCGCUAUGUUCGCCCUUUCUGCUCGCCAAGAUCCCCCAUUGACCUCCGGUUCUAUAAAUUAUAUUCAUGCAUAUAUAGAAUGAUGAUGCAGAUAGAGGAGCGUACGAUGUCUGAGCCAUGUUUGACGGACACACAGCCGGGAGAAAACAGGGACCCCAUGGUGGCCUUUUUAUUCUUAUUAAACGGCAAUCCUCUGCUCCUCUUCUCUGUAAUUAUGCAUUCAAGUGACACACUUAUUUAUACCGUGCAGUGGGUCGCCCAACUGCCACGGAUCCUCUGAUUGGUGCAACUGCUUUUCUAGGUCAGACAGUGGAUCCAAAACACACACAGACUCACAUUUUCUCUUCCUCUCACACACACACACACACACACACACACACACACAGCCAAACGCUUCCACUGGGGAAGGUGAUGUGCAUUAUUCGCCUGGUUGCUCCUCUUCCUCCCAAAUCUAAAUAUAAACAUGACUCACGCCAUGCGAUGGUAAUUGCAGUGACUCAAGAUGGCGGCAUACCUUCAGCGGCUCUUCACCAAGUGUGACAUGUCCUCCCUCCCCGAGUCUUUUUCUUUUUCUCCCGUUUGUUAUUCAGUCCUUUAAAUGUCCGCAAAAAUACAGCUGCUUUUGCUUGGGACCAAUUCAUCGGUGAUAAACGUGGCUCGUGCCGGCAGCCGCGUGAUGCUCAGCGCCCCCCCCCUCCCCCCCUCCCGAGGGUGCUGAUCAGGUGGGUGCUCAUCUGGCGACGUAUGUAAGUGUUGAUGAGGCAGCGACCUCGAUUUUUAACAGUAUGCAUUCCUAUGGUGUGCUUCUUUUUGAAGGAAGGGAGGCUGACCUCUCACUGACCGCUCCAUCAUCUCAUUGGUCCUUGUUUCAUUGCUCGAUGUAUUUCAGCUCCUUUGCCUCCACCACCAUCCAUCACACCUCGUUGCAACACAUCCCUUCUCUCCACCUCCCAGAGUAGGAAGAAGAUGACUUCCUUUUGAAAGGCGUAGAAAAGCUCGGUCCCGCGCUGUGCUUGUCCUCGGGGGGUCUGGUUGUUUCCAUAUCCAGGCAGGCUGGAAACUGAAAGCCGGCUGCCUGAAGGAACUAAACCUUCUAAGUGCUCUCUGUCGCUUUGCAUUUCCAGCUUUGUAUUAACAUUGCACGCUGCAGAGCGGGGAAGGGGGCGGUGGCUGAAAAAGGAGAAAACCUUCAGGCUACAAUUCAGCUCAAAGCACCGAUCUCAAUGACCCGGGAAAAGUUCUGUCCAGCAAAAGAUUCUUGAUUCACAUUUCAUUAGAACCUGAUCACCACAUAAAACGCUUGCUUUAACACGCAGCUGUGAGUUGGUAAAAGCCUCAAUUGCUUUUUUUUAAGGGAAGAUGAAGCAGGCAGAAGGACCAGGUGUCCUCUGGCCUUUGGUAGGUGAUACAUGAGCGUCAAUGAUCUGGUCUCAACUUUCUCUCACAUUUAGAGAAACUUAUUGCACGGUUCCUUUGACGGUAUUGUAAUUGUAUGAUUGCAGCAAGAUUUUCCUCAAAAGUCCAAAGUGUGUGUGUGUGUGUGUGUGUGUGUGUGCGCAACCACGGGCCUUAUUUAGGCUGAAAGAUGAGCCGAUGAGCCCUGCAAGCCGAUGAAUAUGAAUUCAUUUGGUGGCACUUAGUGCUGCUCCUUUACACCGCUCCCCUCCCUCCAACGGCCCCAUCCACACCUCUCCUCCCUCCACCUUCUCACUGGUGCAGCAGUGCAAUCUUCUCAUGCAAAUAUCCCGGGAGGUGGGUGGGCAGUUGAGGUGGCUAACUUGGGAACAUAAAUUACAUUUGCAUGUGAUUUGAUGGGAACGCGGGGCUCAGUGGGAGCACUUUGCAGGAAUAACAAGUGAGAAGACGGGCUUGAUUGCACUCCUCUCUUUACUGACUUUGAGGUUUCUCGCUCUGUUUUUUUUGUUUUUUGCCUCAUAGUUUUGACCCAAAUUGUCACGUUUACCCUCAGUUGCCUCUUCAUGAGGUAUACGGGGUGAAGGUAGUCACGUCGAACACAAGGAGGCUGAUUUAACUUCCCUUUGGAGACUUUAGCUUCUGAUGCCUUUCAUUACAUGUAGGUGUUUUUUCUAACAUUAUCAAUAUAAAAAUAUAACAAGAAGGAAGAAUUUAUGCAUUCAAUGUUUCUUUGAGACACCAUC
Molecule: long non-coding RNA, 7167 nt
Organism: Gasterosteus aculeatus aculeatus (three-spined stickleback)
Lineage: Eukaryota; Metazoa; Chordata; Actinopteri; Perciformes; Gasterosteidae
Source: Ensembl